Long non-coding RNA from Oryctolagus cuniculus (rabbit), 4177 nucleotides. RefSeq lists it as uncharacterized. The record is from RefSeq and is a predicted model, not a curated record. NCBI's taxonomy places the organism in Eukaryota, Metazoa, Chordata, Mammalia, Lagomorpha, Leporidae.
AACGCGUCCCGGAUGGGGACGAGCUCCGGGCGCAGCCUAAAUUUAGCCGCGGUAUAAAAGCGAGCGGGCGGCGGCGGCCCUGGCCACUGCGGCCGCCCCGGGGCCCUGCACAGCCGGGCCCCGGCCGCUCGCGCGCGCGCUCGCGUAGCCAGGCCGCGCCCCCGCCACCCCCCCACCCCAGGCCCCGGGCCCGCCCCCGCUCCGUCUCCACGGCGACCGCGUCAACACGCGCCCCACAACAGAGCGUGACGCGCGCAGGGAUCCCCGGGGCGCCCCGCGCGGACGCGCUCCCGGCUUGCGCCAGCCUGCAGCGCGGUGGGCCCCCGUGGCGGGGCCUCCCCGGAUGCGUGGAUCGAAGGGGAACCCAGCUGCCACGGGGUCCCCAGAGCCCUUAAAGGGAUGGGGAGACUGGGAGGGGGGCGUGUCCCGGGACCCAGUCUUUAAGCCCACGUCCCAGAAACAGCCGUGUGGGAUCAGAUCGGGAAGUGCUAAGUGUGCGAGUCCGGCCUCGGGGGACCCCCUUGAACCCCUGCUGGCCACGGCAGCUGUCACGCCAGUCGAACGCGGCUACGACAGCCACGAUUCUUGUCGCUGUCCCCUCCCCGGGCCCGGCUGGAGCCACCCACCGAGGACCUCUUCAAAUAGCACACACUGGAGCCACCCAGGCGCGGGAAGAACAGGGACUCAGCUGUGUGACCUCGGAGGAACCGCUUAACCUCUCUGAGUGUCAGCGUCUUUUUUUUUUUUUUUUUUUUAAAUUUCUUUGAAAGGCAGAGCUGGGGGGGGGGGGGGUCUUCCCUCCACUAGUUCACUCCCCAAAUGGCCACGAUGGCUGGAGCUGUGCCGAUCCAAAGCCAGGAGCUUCUUCUGGGUCUCCCAUGCAGGUGCCAUUUCUACUGCUUUCCCAGGCCAUAGCAGAGAGCUGGAUAGGAAGUGGAGCAGCCGGGCGGGACUCGAACCUGUGCUCUGAUAUGAGAUGCCGGCAUCCCACAGCACCACCACGCCAGCCCCUGUGCUAUCCUGUUAUCCUGCUGGUGGCCCACGUGCCUUACCACAACCGUGCAAAGAAUGCGCGCUGUGCUACGUACGAUGUGACAGCGGCUGCAAGGUCCUGUGACGAUGGGAAUCUUUCAGGUCCAUUAUGGUGUCAUUGUAUGGGGUCACCACUGUGUGCAUGGUCCCUUAUCAAGCGGACACAUCCUAGCAAGAUAGGCAGGGAUUGGGAGAGUGUGCUGCAAUCGAUUGAUCAUGUCCGUGAGUGGUGGCCCCUCGCAGGGAUUGGGAGCUUGUGCUGUGAUGGACUGGUCAUGUCUGUCACCUGUGCAGGAUUGGGAUCCACGGCAUGUGUGCAACUUUGCACGGGUGUCUCUCCAGGCUGUCCUGCAAGACGUGAGAAAGGUGCACAUCAGACGUCUGAACAGCCCACUGCGACGAGCUCCCUGUCUGUGCCCCCCUGGGCUUGCUUCUGCCCCACGGAGAGCUCGCCACCUGCUGUGCCGGUGCACUGGCUGUUUCCGGUCCCCUUUCAUGCGUCCAGGUCUGCUCGCUAGAGUCGAGGCCGCCUUUCCCUUUCCCCAGCUGUUCCGUCCCCGACAGCUAUUGUGAGUGAGUGCGCCCUUGGCCGGGGGCCCAAGAGCAAGCGCUCAGGAAUGCUGCAGAAAACACGUCACCUACGAUACAGCUGAGUCUCCAAGAACAGCGCUGACUGCUCCAGGGGCAUGACAGCCACAUUACAACCACAACUGGGCCGGGAAUCCCAGCUGAGGCCGUCGGGUGUUCCCGCCGGGGCUUGCGCAAGCUUCUCGCAGCUUCUCGCCAAGCUCGGCGGCUCCCGUGGUGCGAAGAUGCUCUGUAGCUCUGAGGCUCCGGGAGGUGGGAGCCGACGGCGCGCGCAGGGGUGCCUCUGAGACAGAGAGAGAGACAGAGACAGAGACAGAGACCUUCCGUGCGCUGGUUCGCUCCCCCAGUGCCAGGCUGAAGCCAGGAGCUCCAUCCGGGUCUCCCACGUGGGUGGGCGGGGACCCAGGCCCUUGAGCCGGCUGCACCUGCUGCCUUCCCAGGGUGUGCGCAUGCGCAGGGGUCAGGCGCAGAGCCUGGAAUUGAGCCCCGGGCCCAGCUGAACGCCCAAGCCAGCAUUGUGCUUUUGGACUUCUGUCUGUCACCCAUCAAAGGGACCGAGGCCACCUGCCUUGUGGGUGCAGGGACCCAGGCCCCCGGGCUACCUGCUACUGCUUUCCCAGGUGCAGCAAGCAGGGAGCUGGACCGGAAGUGGAGCAGCCGGGACUCGAACCGGUGCCCUUAUCUGGGCUGUGGAAAACACAGGCCCCUGUCUUUUAAAUAAAUAAGUAAACAAGGAAGGUGUGGGCAGGCCAGGGUGAGAACCGAUUGGCAAAGUGCCCGGGGUGGGAGUGGGGGCGUGUUGUAACCUCAGCCCCGCCCAGCCUCUGCCCAGCGCCUGGACAAGGACCGACGCCCCAGGACUCGGCCAAGGGUUCCCAGCUGAGUCCCUCCCCCGACUCCACCUUCCCCGCCCUCCGGAGCCCACAGCCAAUCCCAGGGCUCCCUGCUGCCGGCCCCGCCUCCGCCACCAUGGGACCAUCACAGUGGACAUCGCCAAGUUCACAUCCAAGUGCCUGUGCCUGGCCACCCCAGGACAGGGGGAGCGGAGAGCGCGCUUGUCCCGGGCUGGGCUGUGGAGCCCACAAAGCCAGGGAGCCUGCGCGGUGGGGGCAGCGCCCCUCGGAGAAAAUACUGGGCGGAGCCCUGGGCAGGGGGCUGGGCCACGAGCUUUGUCGCACACCCAGGCCGGGAGGGGGCGGGGGGAUGCAGAAGGGGGAGCCAGAGAGAAAUCUUCCAUCUGCUGGUUCACCCCCGAAAACGCCUGCCCCAGCUGGGGGCUGGGAACUCCACCCGGGUCUCCCACGUGGGUUGCCGGGACCCGGAUAAUUUCCCUUCUGAGGAAUUCAAAUCAGAAAAACAGAAACCAGAGAAUUCGGGACCUUAAUUACACCUGCAAAACCCUUUCCCCUUUGCCUUAGAGAGAGACCUAAUCAAGGGAGUGAUAACCCAACCUGUUCAAUAGUCCCGCCCAUACUUAGGGAAUUAUGCCAAGUCUGUAGAGCAACUGAUAGGACUCUCUGGAGCCUGGGAGAGGCCCCCGCCUUGUCCCCUGCUGUGGCCCUUGGGAGGAGCUGGCUGGGGGUUGGGAGACUGGUUGGCUUUCCCUUUGUCCCCUUUCUGGAAGAACAGAGGGCCCCCUCUUUUUUUUUUUAAGAUUUAUUUGAGAGGCAGAAUUACAGACGGGAGAGGGAGGGGGAGGGAGAGGGAGGUCUUUCAUCUGCUGGUUCACUUCCCAGAUGGCCGCAAUGGCCGGAGCUGCGCCAAUCUGAAGCCAGGAGCCAGGAGCUUCCUCCGGGUCUCCCACGCGGGUGCAGGGGCCCAAGCACUUGGGCCAUCUUUUGCUGCUUUCCCAGGCUACAGCAGAGAGCUGGACCGGAAGUGGAGCAGCCAGGACUCGAACCAGCACUCAGAGACCGGCCGUGGGCAGUAGCCUCAGGCAAAAGCUAUUUGAACUCUGGGCCGUGGACAUCCGACCACCUGGGGCCUCUCCCCAGCCUGAUGGAUUUGUCGCCCUAAAGGGCUUUGUCCCAGACAACCUGGGCUGUGACUCACUGCGUCCUGGGCACCCAGAGCCCGUGGACAAAGGGUGGUGACUGCCCGGGGAGGCUCCCAGCCACCCCGUGUUCUGCUGGACGCUGAGUCACUGCUGAAGUCGGGGAGCGCUCUGGGGAGGGGGGUGCUCCCCGGUGGCCCUGGGGCCGAGGGUGCUCAGCCAUGGUGGCCACUACCGGUCACGACAGCUUCUCCUGUGCACACGGAUGCCUCUCUCCCCUGCCCACCCCCGUGCCGCCCCGGUCCCCCAGCCCAGCACAAGACCCUGUCUGUCCCCUGGGGCGUCCCUCUGUGCCCCCCACCCUCAGCCACUGCCCAGAGCCACAGCCAUUUGUUUGCUGUCCCCAGGCAGGGCUCGGGGCUCUCAGCGACUGCACCCCCUGACCCACCGCAGGGGUGGGGCUGGGUUCUGCCUGACCCCUGGUCGGACGGGAUCUUCACCCAGCCUGCCCCUCGGGGGGUGGGGUCUGGUAAACACUAGCUGCUCAAUAAAUGCUCAGAUCCA